GGUAGCGUGGCCGAGCGGUCUAAGGCGCUGGAUUAAGGGGGCAUGGGUUCGAAUCCCACCGCUACCA
This 67-nucleotide transfer RNA is filed under the name Ornithorhynchus anatinus (platypus). It matches the Rfam family "tRNA". Rfam says of the family: Transfer RNA (tRNA) molecules are approximately 80 nucleotides in length. Their secondary structure includes four short double-helical elements and three loops (D, anti-codon, and T loops). Lineage: Eukaryota; Metazoa; Chordata; Mammalia; Monotremata; Ornithorhynchidae. The record is from Rfam by way of RNAcentral.